AGUUGUUUUAUAUUUUGAGAUAUAUCUAGAUGGGAGAUCUUUGGGUAGAGUACCUUUUGCAUCAUGAUCUAUUGGUGGAUAUGAGCAGUUGCUCGGGUCCGAAGGAGUACGGUUUUUAAGGCACAUGUUAAGCAGGUGAUGAGUGAGCGGGUAGCUCUUUAAAUAGUGCCUUAGAGGGAUGAUAAAUAAGACGUGUAUUCUAAUAUCUGAUGGGGGGUUGUGUUUUUAGGUGUAAGCUUGGUGCCAUGAGGUGCUGGGCUAGUUAAGAAUUUAAAUUAGCGUGGAAUGCGCAAAGGGUUAAAAGUACCCUGUGUUAAGUUAAUGUUAUUAUAAAAUCGUUAAAUUGGUUUGUAAAGUUUUGUGAUAUUCGUCCCCUUGAAAAUUGUUUGUAGUGUGUUAUGGUAGAAUGAGUAUAUUAAGUUAAUACUGGCUUCCUAUCUCGGAAGUUGUCGGUCUGUUUAGUAAAAACAUAGUCAUCCGUGAGAUGUUGGAUGGUAAAGCCUGCCCUAUGCAUGUGAGUGUAAAUGGCCGCAGUAAUUUGACUGUGCAAAGGUAGCAUAAUUAAUUGUCUCGUAAUUGGGGGAUUGUUUGAAAGGUUAGACUAGGCAAUGAUUAGGAGGCAGGUGGGUUAGAAAUUGGAGGUUUGGUGCAGAUACCAAACGGAGUUAGUUAGACGGAAAGACCCCGAGAGCUUUACACUUUUGUGUUUAUCUGGGGCAGAGGCGUAUUUUUCAUGCGUUUUUUGAUCCUAACGGGUUAUAGGUAUGAGUUACCUCGGGGAUAACUAGGUAAGAAGCAAUAAGAGAUCCUAUCGCUUUGCUUAUUUGCCAUCUCGAUGUUGAUUUAGGGUAACACGGAGGCGCAGUAGUUUUUGUGUUAGGUCUGUUCGACCUGUGUUCCUUUCAUGAGUUGAGUUAAGACCGGCGUGAGCCAGGUCGGUUCUUAUCUGCUAGUCUUGCAAGUUAGUACGAAAGGAUUGCUUGCAAUUUAUGUUGGGUGCGAGCA
RNAcentral lists this ribosomal RNA (1005 nucleotides) under Diplodiscus mehrai. RNAcentral's name for it is "large subunit ribosomal RNA". The stretch from base 640 to 1005 matches the Rfam family "Bacterial large subunit ribosomal RNA", at positions 2046 to 2720 of the family's 2925-position model. Lineage: Eukaryota; Metazoa; Platyhelminthes; Trematoda; Plagiorchiida; Diplodiscidae. The record is from RNAcentral.